Molecule: ribosomal RNA, 460 nt
Filed under: uncultured bacterium
Lineage: Bacteria
Description: partial 16S ribosomal RNA
Rfam family: Bacterial small subunit ribosomal RNA
Source: RNAcentral
CCUACGGGUGGCAGCAGUGAGGAAUAUUGGGCAAUGGACGCAAGUCUGAACCAGCCAUGCCGCGUGCAGGAAGACGGCUCUAUGAGUUGUAAACUGCGUUUGUACGAGGGUAAACGCAGAUACGCGUAUCUGUCUGAAAGUAUCGUACGAAUAAGGAUAGGCUAACUCCGUGCCAGCAGCCGCGGUAAUACGGAGGAUUCAAGCGUUAUCCGGAUUUAUUGGGUUUAAAGGGUGCGUAGGCGGUCGUAUAAGUUAGAGGUGAAAGCCCGAGGCUCAACUGCGGAGGUGCCUGUGAUACUGUUCGGCUAGAGAGCAGUUGCGGUAGGCGGAAUGUAUGGUGUAGCGGUGAAAUGCUUAGAGAUCAGACAGAACACCGAUGGCGAAGGCAGCUUACCAAGCUACUUCUGACGUUGAGGCACGAAAGCGUGGGGAGCAAACAGGAUUAGAUACCCGGGUAGUC